GGUUCUGGGCCGGAGCCCGUAAUC
Molecule: non-coding RNA, 24 nt
Filed under: Arabidopsis thaliana (thale cress)
Lineage: Eukaryota; Viridiplantae; Streptophyta; Magnoliopsida; Brassicales; Brassicaceae
Source: RNAcentral